This 774-nucleotide ribosomal RNA is filed under the name uncultured bacterium. RNAcentral's name for it is "bacterial SSU rRNA". It matches the Rfam family "Bacterial small subunit ribosomal RNA", at positions 8 to 796 of the family's 1533-position model. The record is from RNAcentral.
AGAGUUUGAUCAUGGCUCAGGAUGAACCCUGGCGGCGUGCAUAACACAUUCAAGUCGAACGGUGACGAGGACUUCGGUCCUCUGAUCAGUGGCGGACGGGUGAGUAACGCGUGAGCAACCUGCCUAUCAGAGGGGGAUAACACAGGGAAACUUGUGCUAAUACCGCAUGACACAUACAGAUCGCAUGUUUGGUAUGUCAAAGAGAAAUCGCUGAUAGAUGGGCUCGCGUCUGAUUAGAUAGUUGGCAGGGUAACGGCCUACCAAGUCUACGAUCAGUAGCCGAACUGAGAGGUUGAACGGCUACAUUGGAACUGAGAAACGGUCCAGACUCCUACGGGAGGCAGCAGUGGGGAAUAUUGGGCAAUGGGCGAAAGCCUGACCCAGCGACGCCGCGUGAGGGAAGACGGUCUUCGGAUUGUAAACCUCUUUCAGCAGGGAAGAAGAAAGUGACGGUACCUGCAGAAGAAGUCACGGCUAACUACGUGCCAGCAGCCGCGGUAAUACGUAGGUGGCGAGCGUUAUCCGGAAUUACUGGGUGUAAAGGGUGUGUAGGCGGGAUGUCAAGUCAGGUGUGAAAUUCACGGGCUCAACUUGUGAACUGCACUUGAAACUGAUAUUCUUGAGAGUGGGAGAGGUAAACGGAAUUCCUGGUGUAGUAGUGAAAUGCGUAGAUAUCAGGAGGAACACCGGUGGCGAAGGCGGUUUACUGGACCACAACUGACGCUGAGACACGAAAGCGUGGGGAGCAAACAGGAUUAGAUACCCUGGUAGUCC